CGGAUCCGCGCCGCUGCAUAGUUUGAUCCUGGCUCAGGAUGAACGCUAGCUACAGGCUUAACACAUGCAAGUCGCGGGGCAGCACUGUGGUUGCUUGCAACCACUGGUGGCGACCGGCGCACGGGUGAGUAACGCGUAUCCAACCUGCCCUGCAGUGGGGAACAGCCCGGCGAAAGUCGGAUUAAUGCCCCAUGGCGUCCUCGGCGGGCAUCUAAUGAGGACUAAAGGCUUCGGCCGCUGCGGGAUGGGGAUGCGUAGGAUUAGGCAGGCGGCGGGGCGACGGCCCACCGCGCCGACGAUCCUUAGGGGUUCUGAGAGGAAGGUCCCCCACACUGGUACUGAGACACGGACCAGACUCCUACGGGAGGCAGCAGUGAGGAAUAUUGGUCAAUGGGCGGGAGCCUGAACCAGCCAAGUAGCGUGCAGGAAGACGGCCCUACGGGUUGUAAACUGCUUUUAUGCGGGGAUAAAGUGGGCUACGCGUAGCCCUUUGCAGGUACCGCAUGAAUAAGGACCGGCUAAUUCCGUGCCAGCAGCCGCGGUAAUACGGAAGGUCCGGGCGUUAUCCGGAUUUAUUGGGUUUAAAGGGAGCGCAGGCGGCCUUUUAAGCGUGACGUGAAAUGCCGGGGCUCAACCUUGGAAUUGCGUCGCGAACUGGCGGGCUUGAGUACGCUCGAGGCAGGCGGAAUUCGUGGUGUAGCGGUGAAAUGCUUAGAUAUCACGAGGAACCCCGAUUGCGAAGGCAGCCUGCCGGGGUGUUACUGACGCUCAUGCUCGAAGGUGCGGGUAUCGAACAGGAUUAGAUACCCUGGUAGUCCGCACGGUAAACGAUGGACGCCCGCUGUUGGGCCCUAGGGUUCAGCGGCUAAGCGAAAGCGUUAAGCGUCCCACCUGGGGAGUACGCCGGCAACGGUGAAACUCAAAGGAAUUGACGGGGGCCCGCACAAGCGGAGGAACAUGUGGUUUAAUUCGAUGAUACGCGAGGAACCUUACCCGGGCUUGAACUGCAGGGGAACGAUCCAGAGAUGGUGAGGUCAGCAAUGACCCCUGUGGAGGUGCUGCAUGGUUGUCGUCAGCUCGUGCCGUGAGGUGUCGGCUUAAGUGCCAUAACGAGCGCAACCCCUUUCCCCAGUUGCCAUCACCUCGGGUGGGCACUCUGGGGACACUGCCGCCGCAAGGUGCGAGGAAGGUGGGGAUGACGUCAAAUCAGCACGGCCCUUACGUCCGGGGCUACACACGUGUUACAAUGGCGCGUACAGAGGGCUGGCCGCCGGCGACGUCGGCCGAAUCCCGAAAACGCGUCUCAGUUCGGACUGGGGUCUGCAACCCGACCCCACGAGCUGGAUUCGCUAGUAAUCGC
RNAcentral lists this ribosomal RNA (1360 nucleotides) under uncultured bacterium. Its description in RNAcentral is "bacterial SSU rRNA". It matches the Rfam family "Bacterial small subunit ribosomal RNA", at positions 1 to 1345 of the family's 1533-position model. The record is from RNAcentral.